Molecule: ribosomal RNA, 372 nt
Filed under: uncultured bacterium
Lineage: Bacteria
Description: bacterial SSU rRNA
Rfam family: Bacterial small subunit ribosomal RNA
Source: RNAcentral
AUUGAACGCUGGCGGCAGGCUUAACACAUGCAAGUCGAGCGGGGGAGGUUGCUUCGGUAACUGACCUAGCGGCGGACGGGUGAGUAAUACUUAGGAAUCUGCCUAUUAAUGGGGGACAACAUCUCGAAAGGGAUGCUAAUACCGCAUACGCCUACGGGGAAGCAGGGGAUCACUUGUGACCUUGCGUUAAUAGAUGAGCCUAAGUCGGAUUAGCUAGUUGGUGGGUAAAGGCCUACCAAGGCGACGAUCUGUAGCGGGUCUGAGAGGAUGAUCCGCACACUGGGACUGAGACACGGCCCAGACUCCUACGGGAGGCAGCAGUGGGAAUAUUGGACAAUGGGGGGGAACCCUGAUCCAGCCAUGCCGCGUGUG